GCCAAAGUUAGAGACAGAGCACAUGCAGAGGAGCGUGCAAGCCACUUCAUACUCAUAUCUGCAGUGAAUGUCAAGGUGAUUUUCUCUGUUUUCUUCUGUGCUUUGAUUACUCUAAAUUAAUUCCUGCACUGCUACCGGGAAACAAAGGCUAACCACCCAUUAAACAAACCUGCUGUGCUGCUCCUAAGAGACACACAUUAUCUUUGUCCAACCAAGUUCUUUUAAUGCAAACACUAACACAUUUUUGCUCUCGAGCAAGAUUUUUCCUUUAAAUUGUGUUGUAAUCUUAGUACUGCUUCAAUUAUAAGAAGUCUUGUUCCUUUUCAUCAUACCAUGUUUGAAUUAGUACAGAUGUAUUAAUGAUGCAAAAGAAGAAUUAAUUGAGAGAGAUUCUUCAUUUUGCUUUACAUAUAUUUUUUGUGGUGUUCUUUCAUUCUUCCUAAAUUUAGAGGUGGAGGGUCAGUUUUUUCCUUUUUAAUUAUUAAAUUAGGUGGUUAAGUUUAUCAGUGUUUUUUUUUUUUCUCUCUCAGGUUGGUGGAUUGGCAAUUUGUCCUUUGAGAUUAGGAGACCACAAUGAUGAAACAUGAAAAAUCAUUGAUUCAUUAUUGUGGUACAUGUUACAUGUUAACAUUUGAUUGUUUCCACAAGCAAAAGGGUGUUAGAACAUAAGCAAAACUCAAGAUCAUGUCAAUCCAAACCAGCAUGGAAACAUUCCUGAGAUGAGGUGAAGCAACUUUGCAGUCUAUUUAUGUAGUCUUGCAUGCAAAAUCCAUUCCCACCUAAUAAGAGAAAAAAAAGUGAUGGAAUGAACAUGACUCAUGGCUUCAAUUGUUUAUCAUAAAAGAACACGAUGUAAACAUAUGCAGUUCAGCACACACAUCUAUAAAACAACAUAUAUUAAUGACAACUUGCAACAGCACUUGUUUCUUAUUAAAAAAAUUCAAACAUAUUAAUUAGUACAUGAUUUAACAUGAACAUGACACAGUUUGGUAUCCAUUCUCUAAAACAUGCAACACAGAAUACGAAAUUAUAACCACUGUAUCAGUCAACAACUCAAUUAUUACUGUUAAAACCACUGUAUAAUUUGACUCAUAAUCUAAUGAAAACAAAACCUUAACUAAUCUAAGUAAUAUUUUUUAAAUGAAUUAUACACAUAUAGCUUUUAAUUUACUGACAAAAGCCUCAGUUUUUCUUCUAUAACCAUUGCUAAAGGGUUAUAAUUCACUUUUGUACCUGUAUGAAUAUUGGGGUUGAGCAAUGUUGAUCCAGUCGAUACACAAUGAUUAUCGUGUCCUUAGCUGUCCUAUUCUUCAAGUUUUCCUUCCUCUUCGCGUGCUUCGACCGGUUGGCGGGGUACCUACGAUUGAACUCCGACGCUCAAGUCAGCGAUGAUGCUCAAUGAGAAUUCUCUGAUAUUAUGAAAACAUACCUUUUCCCCUUUCAGAAAUCCUUUUAGUAGGUUGACUUGAGCCUUGGCCAUGUGGGUCAAGCAACUGAUGGCUAG
RNAcentral lists this long non-coding RNA (1504 nucleotides) under Phaseolus vulgaris (common bean). RNAcentral's name for it is "long non-coding RNA (PVUL_LNC000017)". Lineage: Eukaryota; Viridiplantae; Streptophyta; Magnoliopsida; Fabales; Fabaceae. The record is from RNAcentral.